This 93-nucleotide transfer RNA is filed under the name Blochmannia endosymbiont of Colobopsis nipponica. RNAcentral describes it as "tRNA-Ser". It matches the Rfam family "tRNA". Rfam says of the family: Transfer RNA (tRNA) molecules are approximately 80 nucleotides in length. Their secondary structure includes four short double-helical elements and three loops (D, anti-codon, and T loops). The record is from RNAcentral. Lineage: Bacteria; Pseudomonadati; Pseudomonadota; Gammaproteobacteria; Enterobacterales; Enterobacteriaceae.
GGAGGAAUGGUCGAGUGGUUAAAGGCGCCGGUCUUGAAAAUCGGAAACGUAUAAUUAAAGAUACGUUCUAGAGUUCGAAUCUCUAUUCCUCCU